Molecule: long non-coding RNA, 701 nt
Organism: Thamnophis elegans (Western terrestrial garter snake)
Lineage: Eukaryota; Metazoa; Chordata; Lepidosauria; Squamata; Natricidae
Exons: 2
Source: RefSeq, a predicted model, not a curated record
CGCUGGGCUUCCCUCCCCCUUCCAAACCGCCGGGAUGGAGGAGCGGGCGGCUGCGGAGUCUCCGGCUAGGUCGGGCCGCCUGCAGCCGAGCCAGAAGCCGCCCCAAAGGUCGCGCGAAGCGUGCCACGCGGGCGGGGAAUGAGACCUAAAGACCCUUCGGCGGCUGCGGGCGGGCGGCCCGUCUCCUCCGGGGGCCCAGCCCCUCCGUGGCGCCGCGGCUGCUCUGGGACAGCCCCCCCGCCGCCCCCGCCCUGUAAUUGCAAGGACUGGCGCUCCCCUGCUGGCCCCAGACGGGGAGGAGGGCUAGGAAAGAGGCGGCUCAGGACGGCAGCGGCUCCGGACCUUUUCUGCCCCGCUGGCGCCUCUCUCUGUCCCUCCAGGAUGGGCUCCAGGCUCGCCGGCUGCUUUCCACGCGCCAGACGCGGACGGUGGCGGCGGGCCGGCAAGGCGGAGCAGGGAGAGCCCGCGGAAGCAGCCUCUCCAGAGGGCCCCGACGUCGCGGCAGGCCGAGCACGGUCCACCCCGUCCACCAGCAGCGAGGGCGACCCGCAGAGCGGCCGGGCGUACUUCAGCGGCAAAGCGCGAGUCUCCUUCCGCCACCAGCUCGACUCCGAGAGGGACUCCACCAGCUGAUCCUCCCGAGAGGCAGCAGGCAGGGCCGCACGGGGGAGGCUUCCCAGGAAUAAACGACCCCCCCCCCC